GGUCAUCUCAGAGCCUUCUCUUCUUCAGGCUGAACAGCUCUAGCUCUCUCAGCCUGUUCUGUAGGAGAGGUGUUCUAUCCCUUGGAUUUUCAUGACCUUGGUCAAGGAACUGUAUUAAAACCUGAUGGCUGAGAAAAAAAUUGGUAAUAUUCCACCACUAUGGAAAAACUUGCAAUUACAGACUCAAAAGACAAUUGGACCUCUGGCAUCAGUAAUUAAAGCAGGAAUUGCCAAGAAAGUGUUAUCUGCAAAGGCAACAAAGGUAUUUGUAUUUUGUGUUUCUACCUGAGUAUUUCAUUCUGAUGUGAUGCAGCCAUAAGGUUAGUUUAGUUGGUAAAAACUGUAAUUACUUCUUGAUUUCAUAAGGUCUUUACAGUAUCAUGUGAGCUAGGAGACCAAUGGUUUUUUAUAUCUUUGGUCACAUAAUUAGCCAUAGAAUGUGUCUAAAAAGUGUGGUCUUCUACCGCUUGAAAUGCACUUAGAGUAUGUUCAGUCCAUAGUCAUGCUCUUUGCUUCAAGGCAUGCUUUAGUUUGUUGGCAGGUGAUGCCUUGGUUUCCCCAUGCUUGUGGCCUGUUAGUAAAUAUGAAACUGAAAUUCUUUCUAGUAAUGUGACUAAUACUUCACCUCACAUAAAUAUGUUAGAAUGUGUUGUCAUUGGACAUGCAUGACGAAAUGAAGAAUCUACAGUAUUUUAUUCAUAUGCUUAGAUUAUUAUAUUGUGUACAAUAUAUUGCCUUUAUCUUGUGUACAUGAGUUUACUAAAUUUUAAUGUGAUGAUUUUCAUCCAAGCAUCUCAGAUCAUGAAUGUACAGAAACCUUUUGAGAAAGAGUUGAAUAUUCUGUAGAAUAGAAUUCCUCUAUGGUUUUCUUUUAAUUGAGGAGUAAGAGAGUAUUCAGUUUUGCACCCAGACAUUUCUUGUGCCUUGGUGUAACAUCUGAAUGACUUGCCUGAAUUUUCCUUCACUUCAUUGCCAAAAUAAUCCAAUGCCCUUACUGACCACAAUUACACUCCCUGACUAGCUCAACUUGAGCUCCAAAUUGAACAAACCUGUUACUACAAGGUGCUUAAAUUCUGAACAGAUGAUCGCAGUGUGCUAUCUGAUUUGGCACAGGUGUGACCUCAGUCUGCCAGCAUGCAAGUACACCUAAAUGGAGCUUUUCAGUUAUACGUGGGUUUUUGUAGUCUGUAAUGUUGUUCACUUUUGAUACAAAAAGCAGGUUUCCAGAUAGUUCCUGGACCUAGUAUAUAAGCCAUUGAUGACUUUCCUUCUUGCUUGACUAUAAUGGAUAUCAAGGAUUGGCUGGCAGAACUGAGCUCACCUAUAUUUUUGGAGGAACUCUGCUACUCAGUAACUUGAAGUAUUCCUUUUUUUUUUUUAUUUUUUUGAAUGAAUUGUCGUUAGAAUCUUCUUUUAUGACAAUCUGACCAUGAUCAGGAUGAGUCAAGCCAGGAUGAGGAGCACUGUACAUAUACAAGAAUCAAGCCCCACACUAACAGGAGCAGAAUACCUAGCACUCCUAGGUGCUAGAAAUACAACAUACAGCAAAGAGAUGUUAUUGUGCAAAAAUGAUAACCAAAACUAUCAAGAAGUAAAGAGGCAUGCACAAAAAAAAGAUAAAAGCCUGCUUUAUCUUUUCUGGGUGGCGUAGGUAUCUCUAUUUAUGUUUUAAUCAGAUAAAAGCAAUAGUGAAAGAGGAAAGAAAAUGUCAUUGGCUUGAUUGCUUUCACAGUUUUUACUGUGGGAGAUAUUAAAAACAUUAACAAUAGAUGGUAUCAUAAGAGGCUUCUGAUAACUUAUAAUUCUCUCGAGCCAGCUGGGAAUGAAAAGCUUGAAAAUGUUUCCCAAGUGAAAAAUUUAUCUGUCAGAAUGAAAUUUUCAUUUUCUGUCUCUUAUGCUGUGACUCUUCUAUCAGACUCACUUGGGAUGUACUGAGUAAGGCAAUAUUUAAAAAAAUAAAAUAAUAAUUCUCUAGAGUGCUCAUCCAGCACUGUCAUGUAAUUUGAAAACAGCUGAACUGCAUUCUUGUCCUUCUCUCCAUGCUAAGAUGCAAUAUUUUCAUUCAUGUUUGUUGUUGAGGUUUCACAGCUUAAGAAAUCUGCCUAAAUAUUUAACUUCCUUGGAAGUCAGCACUCUUUG
Non-coding RNA from Meleagris gallopavo (turkey), 2139 nucleotides. The record is from RefSeq and is a predicted model, not a curated record. Lineage: Eukaryota; Metazoa; Chordata; Aves; Galliformes; Phasianidae.